This 766-nucleotide ribosomal RNA is filed under the name gamma proteobacterium BAL365. RNAcentral describes it as "bacterial SSU rRNA". It matches the Rfam family "Bacterial small subunit ribosomal RNA", at positions 77 to 838 of the family's 1533-position model. Lineage: Bacteria; Pseudomonadati; Pseudomonadota; Gammaproteobacteria. The record is from RNAcentral.
GGCUUGCUCUCUGAUUCAGCGGCGGACGGGUGAGUAAUGCCUAGGAAUCUGCCUGAUAGUGGGGGACAACGUUUCGAAAGGAACGCUAAUACCGCAUACGUCCUACGGGAGAAAGCAGGGGACCUUCGGGCCUUGCGCUAUCAGAUGAGCCUAGGUCGGAUUAGCUAGUUGGUGAGGUAACGGCUCACCAAGGCGACGAUCCGUAACUGGUCUGAGAGGAUGAUCAGUCACACUGGAACUGAGACACGGUCCAGACUCCUACGGGAGGCAGCAGUGGGGAAUAUUGGACAAUGGGCGAAAGCCUGAUCCAGCCAUGCCGCGUGUGUGAAGAAGGUCUUCGGAUUGUAAAGCACUUUAAGUUGGGAGGAAGGGCAUUAACCUAAUACGUUAGUGUUUUGACGUUACCGACAGAAUAAGCACCGGCUAACUUCGUGCCAGCAGCCGCGGUAAUACGAAGGGUGCAAGCGUUAAUCGGAAUUACUGGGCGUAACGCGCGCGUAGGUGGUUUGUUAAGUUGAAUGUGAAAGCCCCGGGCUCAACCUGGGAACUGCAUCCAAAACUGGCAAGCUAGAGUAUGGCAGAGGGUGGUGGAAUUUCCUGUGUAGCGGUGAAAUGCGUAGAUAUAGGAAGGAACACCAGUGGCGAACGCGACCACCUGGGCUAAUACUGACACUGAUGUGCGAAAGCGUGGGGAGCAAACAGGAUUAGAUACCCUGGUAGUCCACGCCGUAAACGAUGUCGACUAGCCUGCUGGGAUCCUUGAGAU